UCUGCUCUUCGGUCAGGUUGUUUUCACUUUGACACAUUCCCCAUUUCCAUUCUGGGUUUUAUCAGGUACCCCACUUCCCACAUAAGGGCCAUACAUAUACAUGCAAGAUCAUUGAGUUUCUUGAAUUGCAUUUCAAGGAUUUAAAAAAUUUACAUAAAUAAGGAGAUUUGGUAUGAUUGUGAAUGAGAUCACUUUUUACCAUUAAAUUUACAACAUGUAGACAACUAGACUGAGCAUCUAGAGGAA
RNAcentral lists this long non-coding RNA (246 nucleotides) under Mytilus galloprovincialis (Mediterranean mussel). The record is from RNAcentral. Lineage: Eukaryota; Metazoa; Mollusca; Bivalvia; Mytilida; Mytilidae.